This is a non-coding RNA of Pan troglodytes (chimpanzee), 148 nucleotides long. It matches the Rfam family "Metazoan signal recognition particle RNA". From Rfam's summary of the family: The signal recognition particle (SRP) is a universally conserved ribonucleoprotein. Lineage: Eukaryota; Metazoa; Chordata; Mammalia; Primates; Hominidae. The record is from Rfam.
GCCAGGUGUGGUGGCGCAUGCCUGUAGUCCCAGCUACUCGGGAGUCUGAGGCAGUAGGAUUGCUUGAGCCCAGGAGUUUGAGGCUGCAGUGAGCCAUGAUUGUGCCACUGCACUCCAGCCUGGGCAACAGAGCAAGACCCUGUCUCUC